UACGGGGGGGGCAAGCGUUGUUCGGAAUUACUGGGCGUAAAGGGCUCGUAGGCGGCCAACUAAGUCGAACGUGAAAUCCCUCAGCUUAACUGGGGAACUGCGUCCGAUACUGAUUGGCUUGAAUCCGGAAGAGGGAUGCGGAAUUCCAGGUGUAGCGGUGAAAUGCGUAGAUAUCUGGAGGAACACCCGUGGCGAAGGCGGCUCUCUGGGCAGUAACUGACGCUGAGGAGCGAAAGCGUGGGGAGCGAACAGG
Molecule: ribosomal RNA, 253 nt
Filed under: uncultured bacterium
Lineage: Bacteria
Description: partial 16S ribosomal RNA
Rfam family: Bacterial small subunit ribosomal RNA
Source: RNAcentral